AGCUCCUUAUGGAGCGAAGUCUUUGAUUCCCCGCUGCCAAGAAAAGCUUCUAGCGAGAUAAAAGGUGCCUGUACCGCAAACCGACACAGGUAGGCGAGGAGAGAAUCCUAAGGUGUGCGAGAGAACUCUGGUUAAGGAACUCGGCAAAAUGACCCCGUAACUUCGGGAGAAGGGGUGCUUUCUUAACGGAAAGCCGCAGUGAAUAGGCCCAAGCGACUGUUUAGCAAAAACACAGCUCUCUGCGAAGCCGUAAGGCGAAGUAUAGGGGGUGACACCUGCCCGGUGCUGGAAGGUUAAGGAGAGGGGUUAGCGUAAGCGAAGCUCUGAACUGAAGCCCCAGUAAACGGCGGCCGUAACUAUAACGGUCCUAAGGUAGCGAAAUUCCUUGUCGGGUAAGUUCCGACCCGCACGAAAGGUGUAACGAUUUGGGCACUGUCUCAACCAGAGACUCGGUGAAAUUAUAGUACCUGUGAAGAUGCAGGUUACCCGCGACAGGACGGAAAGACCCCGUGGAGCUUUACUGUAGCCUGAUAUUGAAUUUUGGUACAGUUUGUACAGGAUAGGCGGGAGCCAUUGAAACCGGAGCGCUAGCUUCGGUGGAGGCGCUGGUGGGAUACCGCCCUGACUGUAUUGAAAUUCUAACCUACGGGUCUUAUCGACCCGGGAGACAGUGUCAGGUGGGCAGUUUGACUGGGGCGGUCGCCUCCUAAAGUGUAACGGAGGCGCCCAAAGGUUCCCUCAGAAUGGUUGGAAAUCAUUCGUAGAGUGCAAAGGCAUAAGGGAGCUUGACUGCGAGACCUACAAGUCGAGCAGGGACGAAAGUCGGGCUUAGUGAUCCGGUGGUUCCGCAUGGAAGGGCCAUCGCUCAACGGAUAAAAGCUACCCCGGGGAUAACAGGCUUAUCUCCCCCAAGAGUCCACAUCGACGGGGAGGUUUGGCACCUCGAUGUCGGCUCAUCGCAUCCUGGGGCUGUAGUCGGUCCCAAGGGUUGGGCUGUUCGCCCAUUAAAGCGGUACGCGAGCUGGGUUCAGAACGUCGUGAGACAGUUCGGUCCCUAUCCGUCGUGGGCGUAGGAAAUUUGAGAGGAGCUGUCCUUAGUACGAGAGGACCGGGAUGGACGCACCGCUGGUGUACCAGUUGUUCUGCCAAGGGCAUAGCUGGGUAGCUAUGUGCGGAAGGGAUAAGUGCUGAAAGCAUCUAAGCAUGAAGCCCCCCUCAAGAUGAGAUUUCCCAUAGCGUAAGCUAGUAAGAUCCCUGAAAGAUGAUCAGGUUGAUAGGUUCGAGGUGGAAGCAUGGUGACAUGUGGAGCUGACGAAUACUAAUAGAUCGAGGACUUAACCAU
Molecule: ribosomal RNA, 1342 nt
Filed under: Escherichia coli
Lineage: Bacteria; Pseudomonadati; Pseudomonadota; Gammaproteobacteria; Enterobacterales; Enterobacteriaceae
Also listed under: 2 other names
Description: partial 23S ribosomal RNA
Rfam family: Bacterial large subunit ribosomal RNA
Source: RNAcentral